GGGUGCGUAACGCGUAUGCAACCUGCCCCCGACCGGGACAAAACAGCUGGAAACGGCCGCUAAUAUCCCAUGGUUACCGAGGAGGGCAUCCUUUUCGGUAUAAAGAUUCAUUGGUCGGGGAUGGGCAUGCGUAUUAUUAGGUAGUUGGCGGGGUAACGGCCCACCAAGCCGACGAUGAUUAGGGGUUCUGAGAGGAUUAACCCCCACACUGGAACUGAGACACGGUCCAGACUCCUACGGGAGGCAGCAGUAGGGAAUAUUGGGCAAUGGAGGAAACUCUGGCCCAGCCAUGCCGCGUGAAGGAAGACGGCCCUAUGGGUUGUAAACUUCUUUUGCCGCAGAGUAAAGCCCGCCACGCGUGGCGGUUUGAGAGUAUGCGGCGAAUAAGUAUCGGCUAACUCCGUGCCAGCAGCCGCGGUAAUACGGGGGAUACGAGCGUUAUCCGGAUUUAUUGGGUUUAAAGGGUGCGCAGGCGGAUCGGUAAGUCAGGGGUGAAAAGUUGGGGCUCAACUCCAAUCGUGCCUUUGAUACUGCCGGACUAGAGUGCGAUAGACGUGGCCGGAAUGUGAUGUGUAGCGGUGAAAUGCUUAGAUAUGUCACAGAACACCGAUCGAGAAGUC
Molecule: ribosomal RNA, 620 nt
Filed under: uncultured bacterium
Lineage: Bacteria
Description: bacterial SSU rRNA
Rfam family: Bacterial small subunit ribosomal RNA
Source: RNAcentral